GUAUAUUAUUUUAUAUUCCAACAUUCUAAACAUAUUCAGAGGUUGUGAAGGUAAACAUAGACCUGGAAAGGCAAGGAAAAGCUGGCUGAAGCACAGCAGUCCUCAAUCUAUAUCAAAUAAUCAGAAGAAUUCCAGGCCUACAAUAUGUGCACAGUGGGGGAAAAGUAAAGAUGACAAGUGUGCACAUGCUCAGUGGAGCCAGCAACAACCUGAUCAAGUUUAUUCAAUAAUGAUCCUUCCGCAGGUUCACCUACGGAAA
Molecule: unclassified non-coding RNA, 259 nt
Filed under: uncultured fungus
Lineage: Eukaryota; Fungi
Description: sequence contains ITS1
Source: RNAcentral